This is a non-coding RNA of Catonella morbi ATCC 51271, 84 nucleotides long. Lineage: Bacteria; Bacillati; Bacillota; Clostridia; Lachnospirales; Lachnospiraceae. The record is from Rfam.
UCUUUUAUGAGGUUAUGCAUGAGGAUAAGGCUACUGUACAAGUCGAAGUCCAAUAACUACACGGAAUCAUGAUGAUAAAUGAGG